Molecule: ribosomal RNA, 440 nt
Filed under: uncultured bacterium
Lineage: Bacteria
Description: partial 16S ribosomal RNA
Rfam family: Bacterial small subunit ribosomal RNA
Source: RNAcentral
CCUACGUGUGGCAGCAGUGGGGAAUAUUGCACAAUGGGGGAAACCCUGAUGCAGCGACGCCGCGUGAGUGAAGAAGUAAUUCGUUAUGUAAAGCUCUAUCAGCAGGGAAGAAAAUGACGGUACCUGAGUAAGAAGCACCGGCUAACUACGUGCCAGCAGCCGCGGUAAUACGUAGGGGGCAAGCGUUAUCCGGAUUUACUGGGUGUAAAGGGAGCGUAGACGGCAGUGCAAGUCUGGAGUGAAAGGCGGGGGCGCAACCCCCGGACUGCUCUGGAAACUGUACGGCUUGAGUGCAGGGGAGGUAAGUGGAAUUGCGAGUGUAGCGGGGAAAUGCGUAGAAAUUAGGAGGAACACCAGUGGGGAAGGCGGCUUACUGGACUGUAACUGACGUGUAGGCUCGAAAGCGUGGGGAGCAAACAGGAUUAGAUACCCGGUGAGUC